This 23-nucleotide small nuclear RNA is filed under the name Arabidopsis thaliana (thale cress). RNAcentral describes it as "snRNA_00855". The record is from RNAcentral. Lineage: Eukaryota; Viridiplantae; Streptophyta; Magnoliopsida; Brassicales; Brassicaceae.
UGUCUCACGAAGAAACCGAGUUU